Molecule: long non-coding RNA, 460 nt
Organism: Sarcophilus harrisii (Tasmanian devil)
Lineage: Eukaryota; Metazoa; Chordata; Mammalia; Dasyuromorphia; Dasyuridae
Exons: 2
Source: RefSeq, a predicted model, not a curated record
UCAGUCUGUCAGUAAAAGUAGCCUAUUGGAGGCGAGGAUCCCUCCCUCCUCUUCCAUAGGCACCAGAAAUAAAAACUGAAAGAGACUCUAGCUUUGUGUUGCUCUCCUAAGUGCUGACCAACCACCCUGCACAAUGAUUUGGGAGGGCGGCCGGUCCUCUGGCUUGGCCAUAACCAGGGACUUCGGAGCUUCUCUGAGCAGGAGCCAACGAGAACUGAGGAAAACAAUGCGUGUGGUGGAAGUGACAAUAUCCUGGAAGGAAAGAAAGGAAGAAAGUUUGUGGUGGUGUCUGGGAGGAAGGGAUUGAAAAAGACAGAUCUCCAGCCUUUUUUCAACCUUCACCUCUCAGUCUCCAACUGGGAAGGAGAGGAGCCAGUGCUGUAUUUCUCUGUGUUCACACUCAAAUCCAAGGGGCUGAAUAUCUGAUUUAUGAGUCUUGGGGUGGAUGAAAAGAAGAUAG